RNAcentral lists this ribosomal RNA (503 nucleotides) under uncultured Sphingobacteriales bacterium. Its description in RNAcentral is "bacterial SSU rRNA". It matches the Rfam family "Bacterial small subunit ribosomal RNA", at positions 903 to 1382 of the family's 1533-position model. The record is from RNAcentral. Lineage: Bacteria; Pseudomonadati; Bacteroidota; Sphingobacteriia; Sphingobacteriales.
CGCCUUGCCAGCCCGCUCAGAAACUUAAAGGAAUUGACGGGGCCCGCACAAGCGGAGGAGCAUGUGGUUUAAUUCGAUGAUACGCGAGGAACCUUACCUGGGCUCGAACGUAAGAUGACUGUAGGUGAAAGCUUACAUCUCUUCGGAGCAUUUUACGAGGUGCUGCAUGGUUGUCGUCAGCUCGUGCCGUGAGGUGUCGGGUUAAGUCCCAUAACGAGCGCAACCCCUACCUUUAGUUGCCAUCAGGUUAAGCUGGGGACUCUAAAGGAACUGCCUACGCAAGUAGUGAGGAAGCGGGGAUGACGUCAAAUCAGCACGGCCCUUACGUCCAGGGCUACACACGUGCUACAAUGGCCGAUACAGAGGGCAGCUACCUGGUGACAGGAUGCAAAUCUCCAAAGUCGGUCUCAGUUCGGAUCGGAGUCUGCAACCCGACUCCGUGAAGUUGGAUUCGCUAGUAAUCGCGCAUCAGCCAUGGCGCGGUGAAUACGUUCCCGGGCCUU